RNAcentral lists this ribosomal RNA (885 nucleotides) under Triticum aestivum (bread wheat). RNAcentral describes it as "partial small subunit ribosomal RNA". Lineage: Eukaryota; Viridiplantae; Streptophyta; Magnoliopsida; Poales; Poaceae. The record is from RNAcentral.
AUGGACUCUAACCCAGUUCAGAUUUUGGAUCGGAGGAUGAUGAAGAGAGGAGACGCACCAGUGGUUCAGGUGCAGGUGGCAUGGAACACAACUCCUCCGUCGACAACCUGGGAAGACUAUGAAGUUCUUCGACGUCGCUAUCCACAGUCACCAAUCUGGGAAGACAGUAACUCCGAAGAAGGGGUCGUUUCUCAAGGCGGGGAGAAUGUCACCCCGGUGCUGCAUACCACCUAUGCUGAAAGAAAUGAACUAAUUCCCUCACCUACCCUCUCCUCUGCUCAUCCCCUUCUCCAAGCUUCUCCCCCUCCCCUCUCUCGAUCCGAUCCAGCCUACUCUGGUCCCCCCUCAACCAGAUCGGGGCGUUACACAGCCGCAGCUCACUCUCACCCGCUCUCCAUGACUCCUUCAGCCGCUGCCGCAUCUAAUCCUCGCCCUCGCAUGCUUUACCCAAAACAUGGCAAGAAAAGGGCCAAGUUGGAUGUAACUCCAGUGAAGAGGAGAUGGAGAAUCGAACGGGAGAAGGAGGGCCACGGUGGUGGUCGAGAGCAAGAGAGGAGUAGAGAUGUGAAUGUCUCGCACCAGCCGGAGACCCUCUCCCGUCCGCUGUCGCACCUCCCUCUCCUCUUUCCUCUCGCUUUCUCCCUCCUCUCUUGCUUUCUCUCUCCUGCAGGGACCGGUCCAUGGCGAAUCGAGCGUCCCCGCCAUCGCCUUUUGCCGGAGAUGCUCGUCGCCGCUGCCAAAGAUGCCUGCCGCCACGCCCGCACGCCUCGGAUCCGGCCAGAUCCCCUACUCUUCCACCCCAACAAGAAGACCCGACGGCGGCUGAUGAGGGAGGAGGGAGUGGUGCUGCGCUGCACUGUGGGGGUCGAGGGGAAAGAGAGCUAG